This 1447-nucleotide ribosomal RNA is filed under the name Klebsiella pneumoniae. RNAcentral's name for it is "bacterial SSU rRNA". It matches the Rfam family "Bacterial small subunit ribosomal RNA". Lineage: Bacteria; Pseudomonadati; Pseudomonadota; Gammaproteobacteria; Enterobacterales; Enterobacteriaceae. The record is from RNAcentral.
GCUCAGAUUGAACGCUGGCGGCAGGCCUAACACAUGCAAGUCGAGCGGUAGCACAGAGAGCUUGCUCUCGGGUGACGAGCGGCGGACGGGUGAGUAAUGUCUGGGAAACUGCCUGAUGGAGGGGGAUAACUACUGGAAACGGUAGCUAAUACCGCAUAAUGUCGCAAGACCAAAGUGGGGGACCUUCGGGCCUCAUGCCAUCAGAUGUGCCCAGAUGGGAUUAGCUAGUAGGUGGGGUAACGGCUCACCUAGGCGACGAUCCCUAGCUGGUCUGAGAGGAUGACCAGCCACACUGGAACUGAGACACGGUCCAGACUCCUACGGGAGGCAGCAGUGGGGAAUAUUGCACAAUGGGCGCAAGCCUGAUGCAGCCAUGCCGCGUGUGUGAAGAAGGCCUUCGGGUUGUAAAGCACUUUCAGCGGGGAGGAAGGCGGUGAGGUUAAUAACCUUGUCGAUUGACGUUACCCGCAGAAGAAGCACCGGCUAACUCCGUGCCAGCAGCCGCGGUAAUACGGAGGGUGCAAGCGUUAAUCGGAAUUACUGGGCGUAAAGCGCACGCAGGCGGUCUGUCAAGUCGGAUGUGAAAUCCCCGGGCUCAACCUGGGAACUGCAUUCGAAACUGGCAGGCUAGAGUCUUGUAGAGGGGGGUAGAAUUCCAGGUGUAGCGGUGAAAUGCGUAGAGAUCUGGAGGAAUACCGGUGGCGAAGGCGGCCCCCUGGACAAAGACUGACGCUCAGGUGCGAAAGCGUGGGGAGCAAACAGGAUUAGAUACCCUGGUAGUCCACGCCGUAAACGAUGUCGAUUUGGAGGUUGUGCCCUUGAGGCGUGGCUUCCGGAGCUAACGCGUUAAAUCGACCGCCUGGGGAGUACGGCCGCAAGGUUAAAACUCAAAUGAAUUGACGGGGGCCCGCACAAGCGGUGGAGCAUGUGGUUUAAUUCGAUGCAACGCGAAGAACCUUACCUGGUCUUGACAUCCACAGAACUUAGCAGAGAUGCUUUGGUGCCUUCGGGAACUGUGAGACAGGUGCUGCAUGGCUGUCGUCAGCUCGUGUUGUGAAAUGUUGGGUUAAGUCCCGCAACGAGCGCAACCCUUAUCCUUUGUUGCCAGCGGUUCGGCCGGGAACUCAAAGGAGACUGCCAGUGAUAAACUGGAGGAAGGUGGGGAUGACGUCAAGUCAUCAUGGCCCUUACGACCAGGGCUACACACGUGCUACAAUGGCAUAUACAAAGAGAAGCGACCUCGCGAGAGCAAGCGGACCUCAUAAAGUAUGUCGUAGUCCGGAUUGGAGUCUGCAACUCGACUCCAUGAAGUCGGAAUCGCUAGUAAUCGUAGAUCAGAAUGCUACGGUGAAUACGUUCCCGGGCCUUGUACACACCGCCCGUCACACCAUGGGAGUGGGUUGCAAAAGAAGUAGGUAGCUUAACCUUCGGGAGGGCGCUUACCACU